This 433-nucleotide ribosomal RNA is filed under the name uncultured bacterium. RNAcentral describes it as "partial 16S ribosomal RNA". It matches the Rfam family "Bacterial small subunit ribosomal RNA", at positions 29 to 507 of the family's 1533-position model. The record is from RNAcentral.
AACGAACGCUGGCGGCAUGCCUAACACAUGCAAGUCGAACGAGACCUUCGGGUCUAGUGGCGCACGGGUGCGUAACGCGUGGGAACCUGCCCUUAGGUUCGGUAUAACUCCCCGAAAGGGGUGCUCAUACCGGAUAAUGUCUUCGGACCAAAGAUUUAUCGCCUUUGGAUGGGCCCGCGUUGGAUUAGCUAGUUGGUAGGGUAAAAGCCUACCAAGGCGACGAUCCAUAGCUGGUCUGAGAGGAUGAUCAGCCCCACUGGGACUGAGACACGGCCCAGACUCCUACGGGACGCAGCAGUGGGUAAUAUUGGACAAUGGGCGAAAGCCUGAUCCAGCAAUGCCGCGUGAGUGAUGAAGGCCUUAGGGUUGUAAAGCUCUUUUACCCGGGAUGAUAAUGACAGUACCGGGAGAAUAAGCUCCGGCUAACUCCGUG